Molecule: long non-coding RNA, 485 nt
Filed under: Homo sapiens (human)
Lineage: Eukaryota; Metazoa; Chordata; Mammalia; Primates; Hominidae
Description: HSALNT0354738
Source: RNAcentral
AGCCCCCAAGGCUGUGGGUAUGAGGCCGGGGCCCUGCACCGGAAGGGAGGGCGGAAGCCACGGGACGUGGAGCAGAUGGUGAGGAUAGUGGGGAGGUAGCAGCAGAGGAUGACCCGAGGCAAAAGUGCAAGUGAAGAAAAGUCGCCUUGCCGGGCAGAGGUACGGGACCAAGGCGCCUCCUCUGGGCUGAGGAGUUAGAGGGAAGAAAAUGGCGCCCUGUCAUGAGGGCGCGAGGUCCGAGUUGAGGGGAGAAGACUGAGGGACACAGAAGUGGCCGAAGUGAGGGCGCUGAGGUCAGCCUGAGCUGAGAGGGCCGGCAGAUCACGCCGCAGCCGAAGUGAACGAACUCGAGUGAGGAAAUUACUCCAGGAUUUGAAUCAUCACAAGAGAUUCACCAGAGGAUUUUAUACACUUGGGCUGUGGCAGCAGACUAAUUACAUCACAGCACUAGAGACGGGGUUUCACCAUAUUGGCUAGGCUAGUCU